This is a long non-coding RNA of Hevea brasiliensis (rubber tree), 1692 nucleotides long. RefSeq lists it as uncharacterized. The record is from RefSeq and is a predicted model, not a curated record. The transcript has 5 exons. NCBI's taxonomy places the organism in Eukaryota, Viridiplantae, Streptophyta, Magnoliopsida, Malpighiales, Euphorbiaceae.
CCAGAAAGGCAUUCACAGCAACCCAAACAAUUGGGUAAAAAAAUUUUUUCUUACUUAAAAUCUGAUUUAAAUUCAAUAAUUAAUGAUUUUAAUAAUAUCUUAAUGUUGUUAAAUUAAUGAUUAUUAAUUUAAUUGGCUUAAAAUGUAGCAGGAGCCUUGAGAUCAACUACACCUCUCGAUCUUGAAUGGCUGAGUCUGAGAUUGAUUGCUUUGCCUUGAUGAAUUAUUUCAUAACAGAGGAUGGGGGGUCCUAGAAUCGAAGAAGAAGGAAGAUAAGUUGAAUAGAGAUGCAUGGUAUCGUGUGUGAGAGUAUUUUUCUAUUAGAAAAAUUAAUUAAAACAUGGAAACAAGCGGGAAGGGAACCAUGCGAGUGAGAAGGGUAAAAUUAAACCAAGUUUAGCUGCCGCAGCUCUUCCCUUCACUUUCUUGGCAAGAAACUAGGAUUUUGAGGAAGAAGUCGGCGAUCACUGGCCGCCGAUUGAUAUUUGAUGCAGAAAAUGACAAUGCUGAUAAAGCUCUAGUGGUUCCGAGAAGACUGCAAGGCGAUUUGGUGUUUGCUUCACGAAGAGGAGGACAGCUUAGAAUGCGCCUGCCAAGUGUGGAUUCUGUUCUUCUAAAGAUAGCUAUUUGUUUGGUUGUGGACUUUGGAAUGAGAAUCAUGUGCAUGAUGUCAGCUGGGAAAGCUGAGAACAUUAAACUAAGCACUACCAUGGAUGAGACUUCAAAAAUUGUUCAGGAAUUAAGGACUGAACUAUAUAAAAGAAAAAUCAGCUCACCUUGUUGCAAGCUCAAAAGAUUAAAGCAGUAAGAAUGAUCUAGUGUUUUAUAGAUCAGAUACAGGGGAUAAUGGCCCAAAAGAUAUCAGAGGGCCUGGGAUCCCAAUGAUUGAUGAUGUUGAGUGUCCAAGUAGUGUUCUUUCAGAAGAGCCAGAGCCACAGCUGCUGGAGAUGGAUUAACUGGAAGCAGAGCUGGCAUCUGAACUACGAAACUUCCGUGGUCCAAUGCUGAAGGUUCUGGACACGGAGUUAGGCCAAAUAUGGGCAAGACUCUAAAAAAAGAAAUUUCUGGAUCCGCAACUAAUUAUCAUUCUGUGAUUAAUUGAGCUAUAAGGAGUAUCCCUAAUCCCUAGUUUUGACUAGAAACUUGUUGAGGUUUCAUCUAGUGUGCUUCGUGAACUGGAGGGUCAGAGCACUGUUCUUACCAAUUCCAUGGGAGUCCUGCCAACUGAACUGGAUCAGAAACGGUUAUUUGCUCAUCGAACGAUGGGAAUACCAAAUUUAGGUGCUGGAACGCGAAUUAGAUUCUGCUCAAUCUAAACUCUAUGAGUAGGGUGCUGAGCUUCAAGCACUGAAGGAAAGACUGCAUGAUGAAGCUGUGAUGCAUGCUGAGCAGAAAAGCACCAGCGAAUUCGAUGACGAGAGCCAGAUGGGAUACGAGUCAAGGAAAUCGGUGGGGGAUGAAAAGACCUUUAGACUUCAUAAAGGGUAAUAUUGGAAAGGUGUUGGUGGUGGUUGCUUGCGUAUGGACAUAGUUAUAGAGUGGUGGAGCCAUGGUGGUGUGGCGGGGUGUGGAAUGGAAGGGAGGUGAAGAUGGGGAUAGAGAUGACCUCAUUACAUGUUUCUGGACUGCACAUUUCCUAACUGUGAAUUCCCAUUUUCCUCCUCGAUAGAACCGUCUGGCUUGCACUUUUGU